GAGUUUGAUUCUGGCUCAGAUUGAACGCUAGCGGGAUGCCUUACACAUGCAAGUCGAACGGCAGCAACAGGGAGCUUGCUCUCUGGUUGGCGAGUGGCGAACGGGUGAGUAAUGUAUCGGAACGUGCCCAGUAGCGGGGGAUAACUACGCGAAAGCGUAGCUAAUACCGCAUACGCCCUACGGGGGAAAGGGGGGGAUCGCAAGACCUCUCACUAUUGGAGCGGCCGAUAUCGGAUUAGCUAGUUGGUGGGGUAAAGGCCUACCAAGGCGACGAUCCGUAGCUGGUUUGAGAGGACGACCAGCCACACUGGGGCUGAGACACGGCCCAGACUCCUACGGGAGGCAGCAGUGGGGAAUUUUGGACAAUGGGGGGAACCCUGAUCCAGCCAUCCCGCGUGUGCGAUGAAGGCCUUCGGGUUGUAAAGCACUUUUGUCAGGGAAGAAAAGCGCAGAGUUAAUACCUUUGCGUG
RNAcentral lists this ribosomal RNA (470 nucleotides) under Pelistega sp. canine oral taxon 267. Its description in RNAcentral is "bacterial SSU rRNA". It matches the Rfam family "Bacterial small subunit ribosomal RNA", at positions 9 to 471 of the family's 1533-position model. The record is from RNAcentral. Lineage: Bacteria; Pseudomonadati; Pseudomonadota; Betaproteobacteria; Burkholderiales; Alcaligenaceae.